UCUAGAUGCAUGCUCGAGCGGCCGCCAGUGUGAUGGAUAUCUGCAGAAUUCGCCCUUGGAUUAGGCAUGCAAGUCGAACGAGGAUAUAUCCUUCGGGAUAUAAGCCGAGUGGCGCAAGGGUGAGUAAUGCAUAGAUUACCUGCCUCUAGGAUAAGGACAACUUUGUGAAAACGAAGCUAAUACUUAAUAAUACAAAAGAGAAUAAUUCUCCUUUGUCAAUGGGAGGGUAGCAAUACCUUUUGCCUAGAGAGGGGUUUAUGUCCUAUCAGCUUGUUGGUGGGGUAAUGGCCUACCAAGGCGAAGACGGGUAGCCGGUCUUAGAGGAUGGUCGGCCACACUGGGACUGAGACACUGCCCAGACUUCUACGGAAGGCUGCAGUCGAGAAUCUUUCGCAAUGCCCGAAAGGGUGACGAAGCGACGCCGCGUGAGUGAGGAAGGCCUUCGGGUUGUAAAGCUCUGUCAGGAGUUAAGGAAUAUAAGUGUGCUAAUACCACAUUUAUUUGACGAAGGCUCCAAAGGAAGCCACGGCUAACUCUGUGCCAGCAGCCGCGGUAAUACAGAGGUGGCAAGCGUUGUUCGGAAUUAUUGGGCGUAAAGAGCACGUAGGUGGGUUUGUAAGUCAGAUGUGAAAGCCUUCUGUUCAACGGAAGAAUUGCAUCUGAAACUACAAGUCUUGAGUGUAGGAAGGGAGAAUGGAACUUCUGGUGGAGCGGGUGAAAUGCGUAGAUAUCAGAAGGGACGCCG
RNAcentral lists this ribosomal RNA (745 nucleotides) under uncultured Candidatus Scalindua sp. RNAcentral's name for it is "partial 16S ribosomal RNA". It matches the Rfam family "Bacterial small subunit ribosomal RNA", at positions 1 to 711 of the family's 1533-position model. The record is from RNAcentral. Lineage: Bacteria; Pseudomonadati; Planctomycetota; Candidatus Brocadiia; Candidatus Brocadiales; Candidatus Scalinduaceae.